UCAUUUGAAACAACGUCGAGAAAUUUAUAUAAAUAUUAUAAGUUGAUCAGCUACUAUAUUUUUGAACACAACUGUAUAUACAAACACAGCAUGCUUUCAAAAUUUUAGAAAGUUACAUUUCAUAAACAUUACUUGAAUAUUGUGAGAAUUCAGUAAUUGUUAAAAUAUACGAUAUUGAAAUGUGGUUGGACUUUGACCAGAAAGAUAAGAAUUAGUAAAAUAAGUAAAUCUUUAAAAAGUGACAAAAACAAAAAAAAAGUUCCCUUUGAUCUUUGAAUUUCUUAAGGAAAACAAAUAAUUAUUAAAGACUUUUGGUAUGACGUUUCCAGGCAAAACCUAAUUAAUUAUUAAUUUAAAUAUUUGCCUGGAACCCUCGUUAAAGGUGUUUACGUACAUAUGUAUAUGUAAUGGCAGCUGCUAAUUUUAAUGGCUGAUUGACUAAGCAGCUAAAGAAGAGCGAGAGAAUAUUUACUUACAAUUGGAACACAUUUCCAUGGGCAGCGAUGUUUCAUUUCCCUAUAAAGAAGAAAAGGAAAGGCAAAAAGAUGUGUAAAAUAUAAAAUUGAAAAUUCCAUAUUUAGAGGGUGAGAGAUAGAUAUAAAUAAAUAAUGAUAAUUAUUAGCAAACUUUUGCAUGAUUUUCGAAAUAGGCGCAAAACAGUGGGACAAGGAAUUCUCCUUCUAUCCUUCUAUUGCUUCAAAUAUUUUCAUUUAUCCAUCUUUAACCCCCACUCCCACGUUCUUCCUUUUGGCAUUCGUUUUUAUUACCAUUUUGAUGUUGCCUUUUCUGGGACGUCUUCGGGCUGUCUCUUUCCCUCUCUCUCUCUAACACACACACACAAACACACGUUCUCUCGCCUUGGAUGCUAUGUAUAGUAUGCGUUAACUAGAAUUCAGCGGAUUUGACUUGUGCACUUCUGUGUUGGCUUUGCUUCUUUGUGUUGCCCGUUAUUCUUUACAAUUUAUAAUAAUUUAACAUUAAAAUGUUCUAAGCAAAAAUGUUUACUAUUGCUACUCUGAAAUUGCAAAA
Molecule: long non-coding RNA, 1029 nt
Organism: Drosophila willistoni
Lineage: Eukaryota; Metazoa; Arthropoda; Insecta; Diptera; Drosophilidae
Exons: 2
Source: RefSeq, a predicted model, not a curated record